UACGUAGGCAGCGAGCGUUGUUCGGAGUUACUGGGCGUAAAGCGUGCGCAGGCGGUUUUGUAAGCCAGAUGUGAAAUCCCCGGGCUUAACCUGGGAAUGGCAUUUGGGACUGCAAGGCUGGAGUGCGGCAGAGGAGACUGGAAUUCCUGGUGUAGCAGUGAAAUGCGUAGAUAUGCGGAGGAACACCGAUGGCGAAGGCAAUCCCCUGGGCCUGCACUGACGCUCAUGCACGAAGGCGUGGGGAGCAAACAGG
Molecule: ribosomal RNA, 253 nt
Filed under: uncultured bacterium
Lineage: Bacteria
Description: partial 16S ribosomal RNA
Rfam family: Bacterial small subunit ribosomal RNA
Source: RNAcentral